GACGAACGCUGGCGGCGUGCCUAAUACAUGCAAGUCGAGCGGAAUGAUGGAGAAGCUUGCUUCUUCUGAUUUUAGCGGCGGACGGGUGAGUAACACGUGGGCAACCUACCUUGUAGAUUGGGAUAACUCCGGGAAACCGGGGCUAAUACCGAAUAAUCCAUUUUGCUUCAUGGCGAGAUGUUAAAAGGCGGCUUCGGCUGUCACUACGAGAUGGGCCCGCGGCGCAUUAGCUAGUUGGUAGGGUAAUGGCCUACCAAGGCGACGAUGCGUAGCCGACCUGAGAGGGUGAUCGGCCACACUGGGACUGAGACACGGCCCAGACUCCUACGGGAGGCAGCAGUAGGGAAUCUUCCACAAUGGACGAAAGUCUGAUGGAGCAACGCCGCGUGAGUGAAGAAGGUUUUCGGAUCGUAAAACUCUGUUGUAAGGGAAGAACACGUACGAGAGUAACUGCUCGUACCUUGACGGUACCUUAUUAGAAAGCCACGGCUAACUACGUG
RNAcentral lists this ribosomal RNA (500 nucleotides) under uncultured bacterium. RNAcentral's name for it is "bacterial SSU rRNA". It matches the Rfam family "Bacterial small subunit ribosomal RNA", at positions 28 to 507 of the family's 1533-position model. The record is from RNAcentral.